UGGGGAAUAUUGGACAAUGGGCGAAAGCAUGAUCCAGCCAUGCCGCGUGUGUGAAGAAGGUCUUCGGAUUGUAAAGCACUUUAAGUUGGGAGGAAGGGCAGUAAGCGAAUACCUUGCUGUUUUGACGUUACCGACAGAAUAAGCACCGGCUAACUCUGUGCCAGCAGCCGCGGUAAUACAGAGGGUGCAAGCGUUAAUCGGAAUUACUGGGCGUAAAGCGCGCGUAGGUGGUUCGUUAAGUUGAAUGUGAAAGCCCCGGGCUCAACCUGGGAACUGCAUCCCAAACUGGCGAGCUAGAGUAGGGCAGAGGGUGGUGGAAUUUCCUGUGUAGCGGUGAAAUGCGUAGAUAUAGGAAGGAACACCAGUGGCGAAGGCGACCACCUGGGCUCAUACUGACACUGAGGUGCGAAAGCGUGGGGAGCAAACAGG
RNAcentral lists this ribosomal RNA (429 nucleotides) under Pseudomonadota bacterium. RNAcentral describes it as "Proteobacteria bacterium partial 16S ribosomal RNA". It matches the Rfam family "Bacterial small subunit ribosomal RNA", at positions 355 to 776 of the family's 1533-position model. Lineage: Bacteria; Pseudomonadati; Pseudomonadota. The record is from RNAcentral.